UACAGAGGUGGCAAGCGUUGUUCGGAAUUACUGGGCGUAAAGGGCGCGUAGGCGGCCUUCUAAGUCAGACGUGAAAUCCCCCGGCUUAACCUGGGAACUGCGUCUGAUACUGGAAGGCUUGAGUGCGGGAGAGGGAUGUGGAAUUCCAGGUGUAGCGGUGAAAUGCGUAGAUAUCUGGAGGAACACCGGUGGCGAAGGCGGCGUUCUGGACUGCAACUGACACUGAGGAACGAAAGCCAGGGGAGCAAACGGG
This 253-nucleotide ribosomal RNA is filed under the name uncultured bacterium. Its description in RNAcentral is "partial 16S ribosomal RNA". It matches the Rfam family "Bacterial small subunit ribosomal RNA", at positions 524 to 776 of the family's 1533-position model. The record is from RNAcentral.